Long non-coding RNA from Oreochromis niloticus (Nile tilapia), 1423 nucleotides. RefSeq lists it as uncharacterized. Lineage: Eukaryota; Metazoa; Chordata; Actinopteri; Cichliformes; Cichlidae. The transcript has 3 exons. The record is from RefSeq and is a predicted model, not a curated record.
UACACUGAACAAACAGCUCAGUAAUGUCAAAUUUCAAUUCAGUAAGAACACAGUGUGUGUGGGGGUGUAUUUGUAUUUGUAAUUCUAUGUUACUAAGCUACAUUUUUAUCUUCUUUGGUUUUUCAGUAUAUAUACUAUGAGCACGUUGCCUCCCACUCUCAAGUACUCACUUUCUUCUGAAAUCAAUACUAUCCUCUUUGUCUAGCCCUAUUUAACCCUCUUAACUCUUUAUUCUGCAGCACUAUUGCAUAAAUGCAACACAUUAAAACUCUGUUGUUAUUGUGCUUACUACAGUAAAAAUGCUUCUCUUUUCAUUUUAACAAAAUAUAACUUGUAUAUUAGCUGUGUUCGAUAGCUGAAAUUUUCAUUCAUUGCAGAGGAAAAUGAAAGAAUUGAAAGAAUUCUCUUUUCUAAGUAUAGUGUUGUGGAGUAAAUAGGCUGUUAACUUAGCUUAAGCCUAGUUUAAAAACUGUCAUGGUUCCCCAGUCUCCUGUGCGUCUCACAUAUUUCUAUCCGUCUCUUCUUCUGUGUGUGUAUGCAAUAACCGCACUUUCUGUUGCAGGACCGGGCCUUCCCUCUGUUCCCACCUCAGCUGUUGACACACCUGAACUGAUGAACUCACGUGUUGGUAAUCUGUGACGGAUCAGGCUGCUAUUUAAGCUGGAGGUUUCCCUUCAUUUGAUGCUGGAUCAUUGAAGUGGAAGGAGUUGGAAGAGUUGUUGGUUUGCAGCAGGUGUGGCUCUGUUUGAAAGCAUGAAAUCACAGUGGGUUGUUUUUGCAGUGGUUUUGAGAUGUACUGAGAAUUAUAUCUCGUGUCAUCACCGAAUGUUGAUGGGUAUUACAACUCCUGUGGUGUGCACUUCUACAGUAGAUGUGUCAUCCAUGGUUACCUGAAGUGAGCCACGAGCACAGACAUGGGGAAUGUUGAGCUCUACAAUAAAUCAACAGUUUUAGGACCUCAAGCCAGCUACAAAAUCCAGGCUGAUACGAUGACAAAUCUACAAACUAAGCUACAGAUAAACCCUACUUUCCCCCAGUUGCUGUAGUUUUGGACAAUAUAAUAUGAUGACAUGCUCCAUCAUGUUAAUAGCUAAAUAUUGCGUCCUAUACAUUUAGAAAUAUUACAGAUAAAAUUUACUUGUUACUUAGUCCAUGUAGAGAACCACCUAUCCUGGAAAACACUAAAUCAAGUCAUUUUUAAAGGACUACAACAGAGAAGAGAUGAAAUCUCCAGUCAUAUUCUUCAGUUGAUUUUUCAGUUACUUUUAUCAAUCAUGGCAUGUUGUUCAGAUUGUUUAACGUUGUAAAACAUGGACUUCAAACUUCUGACUGUGGAGCUCUGUGUUCAAAUUCAGAGGUAAUAUGCUUUAAAAAUAAAUAAAUAAAAACUGUUAAAAUAUUCAUUCAGUUGUUCCCCACAUAC